Long non-coding RNA from Actinia tenebrosa (Australian red waratah sea anemone), 1448 nucleotides. RefSeq lists it as uncharacterized. NCBI's taxonomy places the organism in Eukaryota, Metazoa, Cnidaria, Anthozoa, Actiniaria, Actiniidae. The record is from RefSeq and is a predicted model, not a curated record.
UACAUAGUUCCCAAUAUUAGUUCAACUCUCAAAUGUUGCUCUCCUACGAAGGGAAUCGGAAGGAAACGCGUCUUGACACAGGAGAGAACGAAACAUCAAGCAAACUAAAAAAAUUGCCUGUGGUUUUGUUAGGUCUUUCGAAUCAGCGAGGCGUUCAAACCAAAUUUGAACGUAACUAGAAAGGAAACAGCACUGUUUUAGCGCCGCGAAAGGAURCAAAAAGAGUGAGAUUUAGCAGAACUAAUAUACAUGUUGCAUCAGAUAUAUCAGGACCAUACUUCCAGACAUCGAGUGCUGAACCGUCGUAUGGACUUACUGCUAUGCCGGAGAUUUCGACCCCGACACCGCUAUCCCGGGAGGAAUUACAGACUGAUCAGGAAGCUCGGCAAAAGCCUAAGGGAUAGGUUAGUCGGUCCCUGGACCAUUCAUAAUCAACCUCUUGCUAUGACCAGCAGCCCUGAAAUACCGAUCGUAUCAGUGAGGACUGAGGUCCCAUUGYCUAUCUUUUCCAUGUGGGAUGAUGCGUUUUCGGAGAAACCAAAAAAAACCACGAGCAUUUCUUUUCAAACUGAAACGCUCUUGAAUUCUUAGGAUGAAAAGUGCUGAAAUGCUGCGCGCAUCCGCAAACUUUCUAAAGUACUUUCGUUUCAUUCCAAAGAUGAAAACGUAAAAUGACGUCAUAUAUAAAGACGGUAAUUCCACGAAACAUACCCCGGCCUUCCCUGCUAGCAGAGUCUCUUCUCUUUCUCUCCCUUCUUUUAGGCGGGGAGAAAGGAGACUGCCGAUGUAGAGCGUUUCCUCUGAUAUACCGCCGUCCAAGAUCGUGGACAAAAUGGAACCAGUUUCAAAACCGGUUUUUAACCGGGUACAUGUAGUGCGCAUGAGCAAAUGUAACACACCGUGGCGCCAAACGUUGUUUGACGAGAGCGGCUGUCAAAAUCAUAGUAGAUAAUAGAUGCUCUGACUUCUUGUCCGAUUAUCUGAACAGCUCAUGUCUAUUUUUAGAAUAACCCUCUACUGAAGCCAUCUUCAAGAUUACCUUCUUUCUCCUGGCAAUUGGAUAAUAGGUUAUGUCUAUUUUUAGAAGUUCGAAUGGGUCAUAUCCAUUGUAAGAAUUUUUUUCCUCAAAUUUCUUCUGGUUUGAUAUUUUGAUCUAUUGAUUGCCACUCCGUUUCGCCUCACUGCGACAGCCGCGUUCGAUAUGUAAAUAAUAAUCGAACUUCACGCAUCGGGUAUAUCGAUCAAGGUUUGGAAACUCAAUAGGACAAAGCUAUUGUUUUGUCUUUGAUGUUGAAUCGUACCAUCACUUGAUACUGACCGUGCACAAUGAACCAAAGCAAGUAUAGCUAAAAAUAAGCAUUUCCUUAUUAUUUUCAUGUAUGAACAUUUGAAAGUGAAAACUUUCAUUGGAUGACCACGUACUAUGCGAUUAAAUAUUUCCGCGCAAA